CCMGACCCGUCUUGAAGCACGGACCAAGSAGUCCAACGUGCGCGCGAGUCAAUGGGAGCAAACUUAUAAACCCAAAGGCGAAGCGAAAGCGAAGGACGGCCGGGGGCGGGCGACUCCGUCCGCAUCCCGCCGCCCGUCGGGAGGAUGGGCCGCCGGCACGCUCGCGCGGCCCCGCACUCCCGGGGCGUCUCCGCAAGGCACCGUCACGCUCGACGUUCGCGCGUCGUCGUUCGGUGCCGGAGGCGCACCUCUAGCGCGCACGCUGGGACCCGAAAGAUGGUGAACUAUGCCUGGUCAGGACGAAGUCAGGGGAAACCCUGAUGGAGGUCCGCAGCGAUUCUGACGUGCAAAUCGAUCGUCAGAACUGGGUAUAGGGGCGAAAGACCAAUCGAACCGUCUAGUAGCUGGUUCCCUCCGAAGUUUCCCUUAGGAUAGCUGGCGCUCGCUUGAGAGAGUCUCAUGCGGUAAAGCGAAUGAUUAGAGCGAAUCGGGGUCGAAACGACCUCAACCUAUUCUCAAACUUUAAAUGUGUGAGAUCUCCGGCUUGCCCGACACACGAAGCCGCGAGAUCGGAUCUAGAGUGCCAAGUGGGCCAUUUUUGGUAAGCAGAACUGGCGCUGUGG
RNAcentral lists this ribosomal RNA (623 nucleotides) under Pleotomus sp. CO1056. RNAcentral's name for it is "eukaryotic LSU rRNA". It matches the Rfam family "Eukaryotic large subunit ribosomal RNA", at positions 643 to 1161 of the family's 3401-position model. Lineage: Eukaryota; Metazoa; Arthropoda; Insecta; Coleoptera; Lampyridae. The record is from RNAcentral.